ACUUGAAGAAGAAGCAUCGAGUCGCGGCACCGCGGCGUCCUGUGGAUAUUUGAAAACUAAUUCCCCGAUACUCCGAUACACAUAUUUUGAUAAAUUAUCAAGAACCCCGAUUCAAAUUAAGCGCUCGUCGGGAGGUUGUGCGCGUUAACGGUACUUUACAGUUUGGCGAGUCCGGACCAAGAAUACGCUGUUUUCCCGACUCCGAUCCGACUGCCCGGCCGAUUUCCCGCCCAGCGGACUGCAGCUUGGAACAGGGAGUAGUGAUCCCAGGGAGUCCAUUGGUUCUCAGAUAUCCUCCCACCUCACCCAGGCCCAGCCUGGCAAGACGAAAGUCACACUCCAGCCACACCAGCGACGUACAACCGGCAGUAAAAUGAGUUCCCGCAGCAGUUUGUUUGGAUUUUGCCUCCUCCUGGCCCUGAUCCUGAGCCCGGCCCACGCCACCGUGCACUCGGUGCUCACCCACAAGAACUCCUCGUCGAUGCUGGGCCAGCUGGUCACCUCCAGCACCCUGGUCUGGGAGAGCUACGACCCGAACGACGCCGAGCAGCUGGAGUUCGCCGUCGAGGGCGGCAAGUACAUCACCGAGGACGAGCACUACCCGAUCUACGUCUGCCGAGUGCCCAUCGACGGGUUCCAGGUUGCCGGCCAGACCGAGAAGGUCCUCCAGCGCCACGUCUGUGUGGCGGCCCACUACAAGCACGGCAAGUACGACAACUUCGACGUGCUGAUGAACAAGGGCCACCUGGGCAAGGUAGGAUGGCGCCACUGGCGCAAGUUCGACGUUGGGGUGCCAGUGGGCGCUAUCCGCAUUGGAGACGACGCCUACAUCGGACGCCACCGGACGCCAGGACAGCCGAACAAGGGAGCGGACUUCAAUCUGGGCCACUUGGAGCCCGUGGGCCUGGGCAAGAUCCGGGUGAUUGAGAACGAGCGCGAAAAGUACUACGACGACGGCGAGCUCCUGGUCGAGACGGAGCCAUUCCGCUACGAGCUGCGGGACAUCAAGCUGGACCGCAUUCGCAUCGAAAUGCGCGAAAAUCUGACGGAGUUGGCCACCCGGAAGCUGGAGAACCUGGGGGACAAGUACAGCACCGUGGAGACCGUCCUGAGCUACAGCUUCGACUACAGUCAGUACUGGGGAUCCCACGAGGGAGUGGCCAGGGGCUUCCCCACGAAGAUAUUCGAAAAGGAUGUGAGCACGCCGGCGGAAAUCAACUGGGCACUGAAGCACACCGAGAUUCGGACGGAGAACAAGGCGGUGCAUACGAAACUGUGGCCCGGCACGGCCAUCAACGUGACUCUGCGCGGCAACUACGUGACCCUGGAGGCGCCCUACACCGGCAAGCUCUACGCCUUCUACUACGGCAGCGACGAGAUUGUGUCCCGGAAGAUCAGUGCAGAUGUGCGCAAGAGCUACUUGAAGGAUGUGAAGCUGGAGUUCAGCCCCGUCUACUGGAUCGAGAACGGCACGCUGGUGCCCACAACGACAACCACAACGACAACGACUACGUCCACAUCGACGACGACGCAUGCCACCACCACCAGCACCCACGAGCCCACGCCGAUCCACGAGCCCCCACUGGUGCACAUGCAGGACAAGGGGGUGCAGCACUCGGGCCCCGACACGCUGGAGAAGACGCUGCACGACUCGCCGUCCAGCAACGAGAUCAACUCCCACGAGGCCCCCGAGAACAUGUCCUCAAAGUCCGGCAAAGACGUGGCGCUGGCCGGCUUCGGGGUGAACACGGCCGCGGGAGCGAUGGCGGGCUCCGUCCUCAUGACGCUGCUGGCGGUGGGCCUGAGCCUGUAGAGAGGAAUCGACCGCCGGACUUAGCAUAGCGUUUAAUUGUUGUUGUUGUACCUGUUGUACCCGUCUUUGAGAGAAGGAGGAUAUGCGCAGCUAGAGACAUGUAGGAGCCCCUAGGAAUCGGGACGAAUUUUCGGCUACGCAUUCAGGAGUGGCGGAAAGGAGCAAGAUAAUUACGUAAUACAUUCCUAACUAAACCCUCACAAACGGAAAUGAAUCAAAAGCAUAAGUUAAAGAAUACAAAUACUACAUUCGAGUAGAGAUAUAUUUUAAAUGUUUUUUUGCAUCGCGAGGAUGGUGAAUUAUGUUCUGGACCGGCUUCUCAAUUCUUUAGUUAGUAAGCCAGCAGUGGCACACAAGUAGGAAAGGUACUAAACUGAAUUGACAAUUUAAUUAGGAAUGGUAUUAUAGACCUGCGCUUUAUAAUACGACUAUGAUGUAUGUAUAUGUCUAAAAUGUAAAUCUAUGUAAAACAUAAGUAUGUACGCUAUCUCGUAAGUAAGUCCAAAUAUGUAAAUGAAACACUA
Molecule: unclassified non-coding RNA, 2337 nt
Filed under: Drosophila ananassae
Lineage: Eukaryota; Metazoa; Arthropoda; Insecta; Diptera; Drosophilidae
Description: GF13359
Source: RNAcentral